Seriola dumerili (greater amberjack) is the source of this 664-nucleotide long non-coding RNA. RefSeq lists it as uncharacterized. Lineage: Eukaryota; Metazoa; Chordata; Actinopteri; Carangiformes; Carangidae. The record is from RefSeq and is a predicted model, not a curated record. The transcript is spliced from 3 exons.
AGAGCUAAAUGCCUGUCCAUGAGGGGGCAGCACUGUACGAUAUCCAUACAGUUAAUGAAUGAACAGCCUUCACUCCACCAGUCCCCGUGCAGGGAGAGCAAAGGGCAGCAAAAACAACACAAGCGCAGGCUGGAGUCUUCUUCUGCGUGUCCGUAAACCCUGGAGUCAGCCGUAAUACUGGUCUAAUAGACACAGAAGUGUUUGAAAGGACAGAGUGAUGUUGUAUUCAACCAAAUCACCUGUUAAUGCAGAUGAGGGAGUUUCACGAAAUCUACAUCACUAAGCAUUUUGUGCUUUGCAGUCCAGUAUCUGCACAGGAUGUGAUGAAACCGGAGACUAACUACAGCACACAGAGUUUGAAUUGCCCGUUAUCACUGAGCUGGAGUCAUAUAAGGAGGUGAAAGACAACAGUUGGAUUCCAACCAAUGAAUUUAUGACAGGCUGACCUCUGUGAACACAUGAACUAUGGCCGAUGUCUCAGGAGGAAUGGCUCUGUCAGUCUCAGUCGAGGCUUUAAAAGUGCAGGAGAGCAGAGCUUUAUGGGCAGGUUGUUGACUGUUUCACACUCAGAGUGUGUGUGUCCAGGCUGAGCAGUGGAGCAGUGAUUGAACAGUGAUCCGAGGCAGCUGAUGAACCUCGGAGGAGAGGAAGGACUUCCCACAUG